Molecule: long non-coding RNA, 1866 nt
Organism: Neopsephotus bourkii (Bourke's parrot)
Lineage: Eukaryota; Metazoa; Chordata; Aves; Psittaciformes; Psittacidae
Exons: 2
Source: RefSeq, a predicted model, not a curated record
CUCCUGCAUCUCCUUACAGCAAAAGUGGUUAGGAAGCAGCUAUAGGAUCAAAAUGGGGUUUGAGCACAGUUUUUGGAGGUGCAAGCAUGGAUUAUCCCUAUGGGAUGCCUGGAAGGAGAGGAGCUGGUGGCUUAGGGGGUGGAAGGGAGGUCUCCUGCUCUUACCCAGCCCAGCAUCCUUCAGAGAUGCUCCUGCCUGGAGCAAGCAAGAAACACCAUCACUGCUUCUUUCCAUUCAAGUUUUCCUCUGGUAUCUGCCUCUAACAGGACCUCUGGGGUUCUGAUGAUGGCAGCACCUGAGCUCAGCGUCCCCAGGAGCUGCAUGAGCCUGUGGGACCCUCUGCAGCCAUGAAAACAUCCCCAACGCAGUCACAGGGAGCUGGGAGCAAAGCAUGUCCUCAGUGCAAACCUGAGCACCCCCAGCACCAUGCUGAGCCCCAUCUGGCUGUGCAGCACGCAGCGCUGCGCGAUCCAGCUCAUCCCUGGCCACCCGUUGUGCUGGAGGUCUGUGGGUGACUGAUGUCCCUACAUCACCCACCAGCUCCCUCCUAAAGGCCACAUCUGAGCCCCCAGCAGCGUGCAUGGCCGAGUGCCCUCUGACCCGUGCACAGCAGUCCUCAGGUUUCCCCCUACACAGAGGCCCCGGCAGGGUGGGUGGCUCUGUCCCAGCCCCAUCGCUGUGGGGGGUCCAUGGGUGGGGAUGCAAUUCCCUGCUUAGGAGAAGGGGGGCAAAGCAAGGCAAGGGCUGAAGAGCCCAGAAUCCUCACCCCGUCUCUACCCUAAGCUUUCACUGCUCCAUCUUCUCCAUCACCCAGGGAGGCUUUCAAAGGAGGUGACGUCCCAACAUACAUCUGAGGUUGCGCAGCUUAGAAAGGGGAUUCAAAAGGUAAUGGGGGCUCAUACAUGCAUCAUCCGUGCCCACCGUGUGCCAGAGAUUGCAGGCACCUUCAGGUCAGCAUCUAAGGGACAAGAAAGGUGACAUAAGGUCAGCAGCAAGUGGAGGAGGAGAAUCCUGCUUCCCCCCAGCUCAACCUCUCCUUGCUGAUGCUGUAAUGAUGAAAGGUGGAGCAGAUGAGCACAUCUCAACAUGAAGGGUUAUGCUUGUAUGGCUGUUUCCAUAGGAAAUAAAGCACGCUCAACUCUUCCAAAAGCCAAAAGAGACAAAAAUUAAAGAACCCCUUAAUUCAAGACAUGAAUUAAUCCUUGGACGCUCUCCAAGGCCAUCCGAAAGCAGCUCAUCCCCCCAGGGAAUGCAAAAGGGGUGAUGCUCCAGGUUCAUGCCUCAUUGUGGGGUGUCUACAACGCACACAAGAAGCACCCUACUUCCCCAGUGCUGGGAGCUGGCAGCGGGAUCAGCCUUCCUGCACACUUCCCAUCAUAGAUGGAAGACCCUGUUGGAGACCAUGCUGGUGACAGCAGGAUCCAGGAGGUGCAGGGGGGAACAAAAUGAGGCCCAUCUUCAGGAGGACCUUCUCAGCGUAUCUGGGACAACCAAUCCCUGGCUGAGAGCAGCAGGUCCAGGCUGAGAUGCAGAGUGAGAUCAUCCCUGAAAACCUCUCCCACGUCCUGCCACUUAGCUGAGAAGGUAUUCGUCAAGCUCCUUCCCCAACCUGCUCGAUGAUGAGGCUUUGGCAAAGGCUAUUUCGUGAUGCCUGUGCCCUGCUUUACCUUUUCUCUGGGCCUGAAUAAGGAAAGGAAGGAAAACAGCGAUAAACUGUGUUGAACAAACAGCCCCCAUCCCCGAAGCCCCCAGGCUGCAGCCAGGGGUGCUGGCAAUGGGCACUUGAAGCGAACCAUCGGUCCUGAAAUAGAGCUGUCUCAGAGGGCAAAAGGCAAAUCGAAUGAAAAAUAAGUUACUAUUUUUGAA